Molecule: ribosomal RNA, 478 nt
Filed under: uncultured bacterium
Lineage: Bacteria
Description: partial 16S ribosomal RNA
Rfam family: Bacterial small subunit ribosomal RNA
Source: RNAcentral
GAUGAACGCUGGCGGCGUGCUUAACACAUGCAAGUCGAACGGGGAUUAUUUUAUUGAAACUUCGGUCGAUUUAAUUUAAUUCUAGUGGCGGACGGGUGAGUAACGCGUGGGUAACCUGCCUUAUACAGGGGGAUAACAGUCAGAAAUGGCUGCUAAUACCGCAUAAGCGCACAGAGCUGCAUGGCUCAGUGUGAAAAACUCCGGUGGUAUAAGAUGGACCCGCGUUGGAUUAGCUGGUUGGUGGGGUAACGGCCCACCAAGGCGACGAUCCAUAGCCGGCCUGAGAGGGUGAACGGCCACAUUGGGACUGAGACACGGCCCAGACUCCUACGGGAGGCAGCAGUGGGGAAUAUUGCACAAUGGGGGAAACCCUGAUGCAGCGACGCCGCGUGAAGGAAGAAGUAUCUCGGUAUGUAAACUUCUAUCAGCAGGGAAGAUAGUGACGGUACCUGACUAAGAAGCCCCGGCUAACUACGUG